GAAGGGUAAAAAUGUAACAAGGUUU
RNAcentral lists this ribosomal RNA (25 nucleotides) under Capsicum annuum. RNAcentral describes it as "partial 18S ribosomal RNA". Lineage: Eukaryota; Viridiplantae; Streptophyta; Magnoliopsida; Solanales; Solanaceae. The record is from RNAcentral.